AUUACUACUUUAUAUAUAUAAUAUUAUGAUUGAAUGAUUUAAAAUACUUCCAAUCUGAUAACCUCAGUUCUGUUUUUUGACUGAUUUAAUAUAUUUCAGUCUCAAAAGUAAAGCAAAAAGAGGUUUCUGUUUUAGAAUCAGGAAAGUAUCAAUUUAAUAAAGAUUAAUACGUCGUCGGUAAAAAUUUGAUAGAAAUGAAAUGUAUUCAGUUGAUUUUCAGCUACACAUUAUAUCUGAACUAAGUUCUUCUUGAAAUGGCCUGUAAGCGCUACUGCUUAGUAAAUGCCUCAUAUAGAGUAUGUAUAUAUAGAAGAA
Molecule: unclassified non-coding RNA, 315 nt
Filed under: Melitaea cinxia (Glanville fritillary)
Lineage: Eukaryota; Metazoa; Arthropoda; Insecta; Lepidoptera; Nymphalidae
Description: misc RNA ENSMCXG00005007798.1
Source: RNAcentral